GAGGGAUCAUUACAGAGUUUCUACUCACAAACCACGCGAACCUACCAGUCGUUGCUUCGGCGGGCGCGGUCUGACCGCCCCGGCCCUCGGGCGCCCGCCGAAGGUACCAAACUAUUUGUAUCAUUGGCCUCUCUGAGUAUGUACUUAAAUAAGUCAAAACUUUCAACAACGGAUCUCUUGGUUCUGGCAUCGAUGAAGAACGCAGCGAAAUGCGAUAAGUAAUGUGAAUUGCAGAAUUCAGUGAAUCAUCGAAUCUUUGAACGCACAUUGCGCCCGCCAGUAUUCUGGCGGGCAUGCCUGUUCGAGCGUCAUUUCAACCAUCAAGCCCCGGCUUGUGUUGGGGGCCUGCGGAGACGCAGCCCCCGAAAAGCAGUGGCGGGCUCGCUGUCCACACCGAGCGUAGUAGCUUUAUGUCUCGCUCCGGAGUGCAGCGCGCGCCGGCCGUUAAAAGCGCCCCAGCGGCACCCAAGGUUGACCUCGGAUCAGGUAGGAAGACCCGCUGAACUUAAG
Molecule: ribosomal RNA, 510 nt
Filed under: Chaetomium sp. 1 DP-2014
Lineage: Eukaryota; Fungi; Ascomycota; Sordariomycetes; Sordariales; Chaetomiaceae
Description: eukaryotic LSU rRNA
Rfam family: 5.8S ribosomal RNA (bases 158-311)
Source: RNAcentral